AGAGGAAAAGAAGGUUAAAGACCUUUACCGCGUCACACUCUACCACCCCUGUCUCUCCUCCAUAUCCAUUUGCCUCUUCCAUUUCCAAGCCUUUGAGUCAGGAGGUGCCACUGGUAAAGAACAGAAGAAAAGGUUGUCAAAAAUGUAGUAGGCAGAAGGUUUUCCUUUUUGAUAAAAUAACUGGGGAACGAAUAAAUGAGGGGAAAGCUGAAUUGAAAGUUCACUGGUUGCCUUGCACUGUGUGUGGCAAAACCUGGGAUGACACAUGGGAGCCUGCGAGUGAAUUCCAACACAUUGUGCCAAAGUCCCCACAUCCCAACCAGCUUUCAGCAUGACAACAUAGUCACCAUAGACACCUGGACUCAUCAAGCACCCUUCAAUGCAGUUUAUUUUUGAGUGUUUUU
This is a long non-coding RNA of Carassius carassius (crucian carp), 404 nucleotides long. RefSeq lists it as uncharacterized. The record is from RefSeq and is a predicted model, not a curated record. Lineage: Eukaryota; Metazoa; Chordata; Actinopteri; Cypriniformes; Cyprinidae. The transcript has 4 exons.